Molecule: long non-coding RNA, 1264 nt
Filed under: Parus major (Great Tit)
Lineage: Eukaryota; Metazoa; Chordata; Aves; Passeriformes; Paridae
Description: lncRNA (ENSPMJG00000011165.1)
Source: RNAcentral
GUGAGAACUUCUAUACUAAAUGCAUAUCUUUCUGCUUUUACAAAACUACAGGUAAUGCUCCAGUAGAAAUCCACAUCUGCUCCAGAGAAAGGAAAAAAUCUACUUUAAAGACUCCCCAGAUUCUGAAUUCCAAUGAAAAUCUGGAUUCUUUAGCAUCACAGAGGCUGAAACUGUGAGCUCCAGGAAGGUUUCAAUUAUUGCAAGUAACACUCAAAUCCUCAGCUCUGACUGGCCAGACAGAACAUCACUGCUGCUGCAAUCAGCACAGUGCAGAUUAUGAGAAAGCCAAAUGUUUCAGAAGACUUUCAGGCAUCUGUGGCAGUAAUGGCUACAGUGAGUCAGCUCUGUUUGGAUGCCAACAAAACAGGAUUUAUCUACAAUAAUCUUGUCAAUGCCACAACCAGGUAACUUUAGCUUUUGCCAUUUUCUUUAGACAUAGUCAACAGCAUUUUCCCUUCUGUUUCAGGAUGAAAGCAGUUCAUGAACAAGUCAAAAUUUUUGUGGCAUUCAGCUCCAAUUAUCGGUGUAAUUUCCAAUUUAUAUGGAUAUGAACAUUGCUGGAUUCUUCUGCUUCAGAGAAAAGAUGGGGGUAGGAAAUGAGGAGCACUUCCCACUGGAGAACCAAUCAGAGAGGAAGCUCAGAAACUGAACCUGUAGCUGUAUAAUGACAAAUAAAGAUACAGUGCUGGCAAAAUACCAGCCAACAAAACUAGAAAUACAGGAAAAUGUUCCUGGGCUUAUUGGUGACCUCUGUACUGAAGUUCAGACACUGUUCAACAUUUUAAGUAAGUCCUUUCUUCUUUUGAAAAUUGCAGCUGGGAAAAUUUUUAAUGAAUAUUCACUGAAAAUCUCCUUUGGGGAAAAAAACUCUUAGCUGGUUUUUAUGCAUGCUGAUGACUGGUACAAGAAAUGCAAAUGUCAAAUGAGCUGGAUAAUCUUAUUUAUACAAGAAUGCAAACGUACAUGUAAUGGCCAAAAUGCUUUUGGUUUUUGGGACCUUUUCAGAUGUUUUAUUUUCUAAAAUAGAGGGUGUGUUGUCUCCUUGACCAUAACUCUACAAACAUCAGGAUCAAGACCAAGUACACACUUUGCCUGAAAUCUGAAGAUAGCAAACAUUUCAACUAAAAUUACUACUACUGUCAGGUGUCAGCCAGGACAUCCACCUCUGAACACAAGCAAAUUGGAUUACUCACUUGGGAUUUUUCCAGAGGUCCAUUACUUACACUCUGCAGUGCUUGGAGGAUAAAUUGGUAUUGACCAGGAG